UACAGGGGGCACUAGCGUUGCUCGGAAUCACUGGGCGUAAAGCGUACGCAGGCGGACGAUUAAGUCGUGGGUGAAAGCCUGGAGCUCAACUCCAGAAGUGCCCUCGAUACUGGUCGUCUUGAGUACGGGAGAGGUGAGUGGAAUUCCUGGUGUAGAGGUGAAAUUCGUAGAUAUCAGGAGGAACACCGGUGGCGAAAGCGGCUCACUGGCCCGAUACUGACGCUCAUGUACGAAAGCGUGGGGAGCAAACAGG
Molecule: ribosomal RNA, 253 nt
Filed under: uncultured bacterium
Lineage: Bacteria
Description: partial 16S ribosomal RNA
Rfam family: Bacterial small subunit ribosomal RNA
Source: RNAcentral